GAUGAACGCUGGCGGCGUGCCUAAUACAUGCAAGUCGAGCGAACAGACGAGGAGCUUGCUCCUCUUACGUUAGCGGCGGACGGGUGAGUAACACGUGGAUAACCUACCUAUAAGACUGGGAUAACUUCGGGAAACCUGAGCUAAUACCGGAUAAUAUAUUGAACCUCAUGGUUCAAUAGUGAAAGACGGUUUUGCUGUCACUUAUAGAUGGAUCCGCGCCGCAUUAGCUAGUUGGUAAGGUAACGGCUUACCAAGGCAACGAUGCGUAGCCGACCUGAGAGGGUGAUCGGCCACACUGGAACUGAGACACGGUCCAGACUCCUACGGGAGGCAGCAGUAGGGAAUCUUCCGCAAUGGGCGAAAGCCUGACGGAGCAACGCCGCGUGAGUGAUGAAGGUCUUCGGAUCGUAAAACUCUGUUAUUAGGGAAGAACAAAUGUGUAAGUAACUAUGCACGUCUUGACGGUACCUAAUCAGAAAGCCACGGCUAACUACGUG
Molecule: ribosomal RNA, 497 nt
Filed under: uncultured bacterium
Lineage: Bacteria
Description: partial 16S ribosomal RNA
Rfam family: Bacterial small subunit ribosomal RNA
Source: RNAcentral